AGCACCCAGGAUUUUUUUCUGAAGUGUAAACUUAUAAUGAAACAUGAUGAUAUCAAACAGAAACCCCAGAGAGAAUACAAAAUUAAGAGUGAAUCAAACACGGACCCCUGGAUAUCAUGGAGGUGGGAUCAGGUGCGUAGGAAGAGCAAGUAUCCUUUCGUCGCCGAUCAAACCAGCUGAGAGUCCUCUAUAUUGAUAAGAAGUAAUCAAUAGUCAAUAGCAGUAUGUAAAGAACAACCUAAUAAUUGGAGAACAAUUCGUACCCAUGGAAAUUCCAACUGACUGUUGGAAGACCUGAUCGUCAAAGACCACGUAGAUAUUGUCAAUGAGGAACUCCAGCAUGUUUUUGAAAACAACUUCAGCGUAGAAUCCAAAAGAUGAUGAUUGCACCAUUUUCCAAACGGCACUUUUGUUGGCUUGCAUAUAAACAUAAUCUGGUGCCUCUUGUAACAAAAAUAUGUUAAGAAAUGACAAUAUAUAUCUGAUAGGCUUUAACAAGGAAUUAUCUGGAAAGUUUGCUUUGAAAUGAAUUAAAGCAAUUUGACGGCUUGUAAGUUUU
Molecule: long non-coding RNA, 559 nt
Organism: Ostrea edulis (European flat oyster)
Lineage: Eukaryota; Metazoa; Mollusca; Bivalvia; Ostreida; Ostreidae
Exons: 3
Source: RefSeq, a predicted model, not a curated record